CCGUUAUUCAAGCUAAGAAACCUAAGUCUCAUUAUAGAUCCAAGCACAUCCUCAGAUGCUUCCAUCUCAUUAGAGAUAAGAUGUUGUCCUUGAAUGAGUAGACAGAAAGAAUAAUAUAACAGACCCAUUCACUAAGGCCAUACCAAAGUAGCUAUAUAAUCACCAUCUUGAUUUUAUGAGAUAUAAAGGUGAUUGGCUUUAGUACAAGU
This 209-nucleotide long non-coding RNA is filed under the name Elaeis guineensis (African oil palm). Its description in RNAcentral is "long non-coding RNA (EGUI_LNC060409)". Lineage: Eukaryota; Viridiplantae; Streptophyta; Magnoliopsida; Arecales; Arecaceae. The record is from RNAcentral.